AGAGUUUGAUCAUGGCUCAGAUUGAACGCUGGCGGAAUGCUUUACACAUGCAAGUCGAACGGCAGCACGGGGCAACCUGGUGGCGAGUGGCGAACGGGUGAGUAAUGCAUCGGAACGUGCCCAAUCGUGGGGGAUAACGUAGCGAAAGUUACGCUAAUACCGCAUACGAUCUACGGAUGAAAGCGGGGGAUCGCAAGACCUCGCGCGAAUGGAGCGGCCGAUGUCAGAUUAGGUAGUUGGUGGGGUAAAAGGCUCACCAAGCCGACGAUCUGUAGCUGGUCUGAGAGGACGACCAGCCACACUGGGACUGAGACACGGGCCCAGACUCCUACGGGAGGCAGCAGUGGGGAAUUUUGGACAAUGGGCGCAAGCCUGAUCCAGCCAUGCCGCGUGAGUGAAGAAGGCCUUCGGGUUGUAAAGCUCUUUCGGCCGGGAAGAAAUCGCAUGGGUUAAUACCCUGUGUGGAUGACGGUACCGGAAUAAGAAGCACCGGCUAACUACGUG
Molecule: ribosomal RNA, 504 nt
Filed under: uncultured bacterium
Lineage: Bacteria
Description: bacterial SSU rRNA
Rfam family: Bacterial small subunit ribosomal RNA
Source: RNAcentral